AACGAACGCUGGCGGCAUGCCUAACACAUGCAAGUCGAACGAGACCUUCGGGUCUAGUGGCGCACGGGUGCGUAACGCGUGGGAACCUGCCCUUAGGUUCGGAAUAACUCCCCGAAAGGGGUGCUAAUACCGGAUAAUGUCUUCGGACCAAAGAUUUAUCGCCUUUGGAUGGGCCCGCGUUGGAUUAGCUAGUUGGUAGGGUAAAAGCCUACCAAGGCGACGAUCCAUAGCUGGUCUGAGAGGAUGAUCAGCCACACUGGGACUGAGACACGGCCCAGACUCCUACGGGAGGCAGCAGUGGGGAAUAUUGGACAAUGGGCGAAAGCCUGAUCCAGCAAUGCCGCGUGAGUGAUGAAGGCCUUAGGGUUGUAAAGCCCUAUUACCCGGGAUGAUAAUGACAGUACCGGGAGAAUAAGCUCCGGCUAACUCCGUG
This 433-nucleotide ribosomal RNA is filed under the name uncultured bacterium. RNAcentral describes it as "partial 16S ribosomal RNA". It matches the Rfam family "Bacterial small subunit ribosomal RNA", at positions 29 to 507 of the family's 1533-position model. The record is from RNAcentral.